UUAAGUUAAUAAGGGCGCACGGUGGAUGCCUUGGCACUAGGAGCCGACGAAGGACGUGACAAACGACGAUAUGCCUUGGGUAGCUGUAAGUAAGCGAUGAUCCAGGGAUUUCCGAAUGGGGGAACCCAACAGGUAGUACCUGUUACCCACAUCUGUCAAGGAUGUGAGGAGGAAGACGCAGUGAACUGAAACAUCUAAGUAGCUGCAGGAAGAGAAAGCAAAAGCGAUUGCCUUAGUAGCGGCGAGCGAAACGGCAGGAGGGCAAACCGAAGAGUUUACUCUUCGGGGUUGUAGGACUGCAAUGUGGACUCAAAGAUUAUAGAAGAAUGAUUUGGGAAGAUCAGCCAAAGAGAGUAAUAGCCUCGUAUUUAAAAUAGUCUUUGUACCUAGCAGUAUCCUGAGUACGGCGGGACACGUGAAAUCCCGUCGGAAUCUGGGAGGACCAUCUCCCAACCCUAAAUACUCCCUAGUGACCGAUAGUGAACCAGUACCGUGAGGGAAAGGUGAAAAGCACCCCGGGAGGGGAGUGAAAUAGAACCUGAAACCGUGUGCCUACAACAAGUUCGAGCCCGUUAAUGGGUGAGAGCGUGCCUUUUGUAGAAUGAACCGGCGAGUUACGUUAUGAUGCGAGGUUAAGUUGAAGAGACGGAGCCGUAGGGAAACCGAGUCUGAAUAGGGCGCCUUAGUAUCAUGACGUAGACCCGAAACCAUGUGACCUACCCAUGAGCAGGUUGAAGGUGCGGUAAGACGCACUGGAGGACCGAACCAGGGCACGUUGAAAAGUGCUUGGAUGACUUGUGGGUAGCGGAGAAAUUCCAAACGAACUUGGAGAUAGCUGGUUCUCUCCGAAAUAGCUUUAGGGCUAGCGUCGACAUUAGAGAUUCUUGGAGGUAGAGCACUGUUUGGGUGAGGGGUCCAUCCCGGAUUACCAAUCUCAGAUAAACUCCGAAUGCCAAUGAAUUAUGGUCGGCAGUCAGACUGCGAGUGCUAAGAUCCGUAGUCGAAAGGGAAACAGCCCAGACCACCAGCUAAGGUCCCAAAAUAAUUGUUAAGUGGAAAAGGAUGUGGGGUUGCACAGACAACUAGGAUGUUAGCUUAGAAGCAGCUAUUCAUUCAAAGAGUGCGUAAUAGCUCACUAGUCGAGUGACCCUGCGCCGAAAAUGUACCGGGGCUAAAACAAUUUACCGAAGCUGUGGAUACCUUUAUAGGUAUGGUAGGAGAGCGUUCUAUGUGUGAUGAAGGUAUACCGUGAGGAGUGCUGGAACGCAUAGAAGUGAGAAUGCCGGUAUGAGUAGCGAAAGACAGGUGAGAAUCCUGUCCACCGUAAGACUAAGGUUUCCAGGGGAAGGCUCGUCCGCCCUGGGUUAGUCGGGACCUAAGGAGAGACCGAAAGGUGUAUCCGAUGGACAACAGGUUGAUAUUCCUGUACUAGAGUAUGUAGUGAUGGAGGGACGCAGUAGGCUAACUAAAGCAGACGAUUGGAAGAGUCUGUCUAAGCAGUGAGGUGUGAAUUGAGUCAAAUGCUUAAUUCUAUAACAUUGAGCUGUGAUGGGGAGCGAAGUUUAGUAGCGAAGUUAGUGACGUCACACUGCCAAGAAAAGCUUCUAGCGUUUAAACAUACUCUACCCGUACCGCAAACCGACACAGGUAGUCGAGGCGAGUAGCCUCAGGUGAGCGAGAGAACUCUCGUUAAGGAACUCGGCAAAAUGACCCCGUAACUUCGGGAGAAGGGGUGCUGACUUUAAGUCAGCCGCAGUGAAUAGGCCCAAGCAACUGUUUAUCAAAAACACAGCUCUCUGCUAAAUCGUAAGAUGAUGUAUAGGGGGUGACGCCUGCCCGGUGCUGGAAGGUUAAGAGGAGUGCUUAGCGUAAGCGAAGGUAUGAAUUGAAGCCCCAGUAAACGGCGGCCGUAACUAUAACGGUCCUAAGGUAGCGAAAUUCCUUGUCGGGUAAGUUCCGACCCGCACGAAAGGCGUAAUGAUUUGGGCACUGUCUCAACGAGAGACUCGGUGAAAUUUUAGUACCUGUGAAGAUGCAGGUUACCCGCGACAGGACGGAAAGACCCCAUGGAGCUUUACUGCAGUUUGAUAUUGAGUGUCUGUACCACAUGUACAGGAUAGGUAGGAGUCUAAGAGAUCGGGACGCCAGUUUCGAAGGAGACGCUGUUGGGAUACUACCCUUGUGUUAUGGCCACUCUAACCCAGAUAGGUGAUCCCUAUCGGAGACAGUGUCUGACGGGCAGUUUGACUGGGGCGGUCGCCUCCUAAAAGGUAACGGAGGCGCCCAAAGGUUCCCUCAGAAUGGUUGGAAAUCAUUCGCAGAGUGUAAAGGUAUAAGGGAGCUUGACUGCGAGAGCUACAACUCGAGCAGGGACGAAAGUCGGGCUUAGUGAUCCGGUGGUUCCGUAUGGAAGGGCCAUCGCUCAACGGAUAAAAGCUACCCUGGGGAUAACAGGCUUAUCUCCCCCAAGAGUUCACAUCGACGGGGAGGUUUGGCACCUCGAUGUCGGCUCGUCGCAUCCUGGGGCUGUAGUCGGUCCCAAGGGUUGGGCUGUUCGCCCAUUAAAGCGGCACGCGAGCUGGGUUCAGAACGUCGUGAGACAGUUCGGUCCCUAUCCGUCGCGGGCGUAGGAAAUUUGAGAGGAUCUGCUCCUAGUACGAGAGGACCAGAGUGGACUUACCGCUGGUGUACCAGUUGUCUUGCCAAAGGCAUCGCUGGGUAGCUAUGUAGGGAAGGGAUAAACGCUGAAAGCAUCUAAGUGUGAAACCCACCUCAAGAUGAGAUUUCCCAUGAUUAUAUAUCAGUAAGAGCCCUGAGAGAUGAUCAGGUAGAUAGGUUAGAAGUGGAAGUGUGGCGACACAUGUAGCGGACUAAUACUAAUAGCUCGAGGACUUAUCCAA
RNAcentral lists this ribosomal RNA (2900 nucleotides) under Streptococcus pneumoniae. RNAcentral's name for it is "bacterial LSU rRNA". It matches the Rfam family "Bacterial large subunit ribosomal RNA". Lineage: Bacteria; Bacillati; Bacillota; Bacilli; Lactobacillales; Streptococcaceae. The record is from RNAcentral.